This 1124-nucleotide ribosomal RNA is filed under the name Ligilactobacillus animalis. Its description in RNAcentral is "bacterial LSU rRNA". It matches the Rfam family "Bacterial large subunit ribosomal RNA", at positions 1 to 1118 of the family's 2925-position model. Lineage: Bacteria; Bacillati; Bacillota; Bacilli; Lactobacillales; Lactobacillaceae. The record is from RNAcentral.
AGGUUAAGUUAUUAAGGGCGCAUGGUGGAUGCCUUGGCACUAGGAGCCGAUGAAGGACGUGACUAACUGCGAUAAGCUUCGGGGAGUUGUAAGUAAACUGUGAUCCGGAGAUUUCCGAAUGGGGAAACCCAGCAGGAGUAAAGACCUGUUAUCACUGAGUGAAUACAUAGCUCAGUCGAAGGUAGACGUGGGGAACUGAAACAUCUAAGUACCCAUAGGAAGAGAAAGAAAAUUCGAUUCCCUGAGUAGCGGCGAGCGAAAAGGGAACAGCCCAAACCAGAGAGCUUGCUCUUUGGGGUUGUAGGACUGGACAUUUGAGUUACCAAGAAACGAAGUAGUUGAAUGAUUUGGGAAGAUCAGCCAGAGAAGGUGAUAGCCCUGUAAGCGAAACUUCGUUUCCUCAGCCCAGUAUCCUGAGUACGGCGGAACACGUGAAACUCCGUCGGAAUCCGGGAGGACCAUCUCCCAAGGCUAAAUACUCCCUAGUGACCGAUAGUGAACCAGUACCGUGAGGGAAAGGUGAAAAGCACCCCGUGAGGGGAGUGAAAUAGUUCCUGAAACCAUGUGCCUACAAGUAGUCAGAGCCCGUUAAUGGGUGAUGGCGUGCCUUUUGUAGAAUGAACCGGCGAGUUACGUUAGCGUGCGAGGUUAAGGCGUAAAGGCCGGAGCCGUAGCGAAAGCGAGUCUGAAUAGGGCGAAUGAGUACGUUGACGUAGACCCGAAACCAGGUGACCUACCCAUGUCCAGGUUGAAGGUGCGGUAAGACGCACUGGAGGACCGAACCCGUGUAUGUUGAAAAAUGCUGGGAUGAGGUGUGGGUAGAGGUGAAAUUCCAAACGAACUUGGAGAUAGCUGGUUCUCUCCGAAAUAGCUUUAGGGCUAGCCUCGGAGUUAAGGAUCGUGGAGGUAGAGCACUGUUUGGACUAGGGGCCCGUCUUGGGUUACUGAAUUCAGAUAAACUCCGAAUGCCACAGAUCUAUAUCCGGGAGUCAGACUGCGAGUGAUAAGAUCCGUAGUCGAAAGGGAAACAGCCCAGACCACCGAUUAAGGUCCCUAAAUAUGUGUUAAGUGGAAAAGGAUGUGGAAUUGCACAGACAACUAGGAUGUUGGCUUAGAAGCAGCCA